RNAcentral lists this long non-coding RNA (1192 nucleotides) under Phaseolus vulgaris (common bean). RNAcentral's name for it is "long non-coding RNA (PVUL_LNC004793)". Lineage: Eukaryota; Viridiplantae; Streptophyta; Magnoliopsida; Fabales; Fabaceae. The record is from RNAcentral.
UGCAAGAGGGCCAUUCUUCACAAGAUUUGCAGCAAUUUGUUCUUCGUCAAGGGAAAUCACACUGUAAUUAGAUACAGAAGCUGCAAUUUUGCUUUUAUCAAAUUUGCAGGUGCCAUCUCUUCCAGUGUACGGAUAAUCCUUUUCUCUCUGUACUCCCCCAGACCCAAUUAGGUACUCAAAUGCGUUGUUCAUCAAACCGCCAUUACAGCCUGAGUCACACGAUCCGUAUUCUUCUGGAUCACACUGUGAGAUUCAUGGCCAUAUUAAAUCAUCGUUAAAUAUCAGGGUGGUUUGGUGGCUAAUUAUAGCACUUUACUGUCUUGUCAACUACAAGGUACACAUGAUCUAGACACAAAUGACAUAUUACACAAACAAAGGAUUCCAACAAACUUUAAGAUUGUAGAGUAUAAGGGGAUAGCAUAGUUACAUAGUUACAUAACAAGUUCUAAAAUCACCGUAAAAUUAACAAGAAAAAAAAUACAAAACAUAAUCUAGAAACGAAUAUCGAUGUUCGAAAGGUUAGAAUACAUAUCACAUUCAUCAAUGUUCCAUCAGAUAACACCAUUACAUAAAUAUAAUAGAAUUUUCAUUUGUAUUAAUAUAACAGUUGAAAGUAAAGUAAAAGAGCAAAACACAGUAUAAAUUAUCUGAAAUGUCCAAUCUGGAAUCAUGUCUAACAUGGAUAUGAAUAUUAUUUCGAAGUGUGUUAGCUUACGGUCCGGCACAUCAUGUCUUCAUCGUAUUAAUGUGCAUUCAGAUUAUCUUACUGUGAUAAAAAACAGUUUAAAACAAUCAUUUACUAUAAGUUAUGAUUUACCUUCCCAAUCGUACACUCUAUAAUAACAUAUCAUAAACACACUUAAAUCACAUACAACAAUGUUCGCAUUCAAUUUAAAUUAUACAAAAUCACGUUGAAAUAUCAGUUAACUCGACUUUAAAUGUUCACAAGUGUUUGAUGCAUUCAAGACCAAAAUUAAUUUUGACUUGAAACAAUCUCAGACAACUUUUUUUAAAUUAGAAGAAAUUUUCUUGCAAACACAAGACACCUCACUUUUCAAAAUUAAUCUGAACCCCAUCAAUCUUACAAACACUAUGCGAUCACACUGCAAAAACCAAAAGGUAAGGUCGAAAUCCAAAAGGGGCUAAACUUUAAAAAAAAAAAAAAGGCAUAAAGAGAGAGAAACGAACCACG